GGGUAUUUAGCUCAGCGGCAUAAGCGCCUGCCUUGCAAGCAGGCAGUCGUGAGUUCAAUCCCCAGUACCGA
RNAcentral lists this transfer RNA (71 nucleotides) under Cavia porcellus (domestic guinea pig). It matches the Rfam family "tRNA". Rfam says of the family: Transfer RNA (tRNA) molecules are approximately 80 nucleotides in length. Lineage: Eukaryota; Metazoa; Chordata; Mammalia; Rodentia; Caviidae. The record is from Rfam by way of RNAcentral.